UAGGGAAUCUUCGGCAAUGGACGAAAGUCUGACCGAGCAACGCCGCGUGAGUGAAGAAGGUUUUCGGAUCGUAAAACUCUGUUGUUAGAGAAGAACAAGGACGUUAGUAACUGAACGUCCCCUGACGGUAUCUAACCAGAAAGCCACGGCUAACUACGUGCCAGCAGCCGCGGUAAUACGUAGGUGGCAAGCGUUGUCCGGAUUUAUUUGGCGUAAAGCGAGCGCAGGCGGUUUCUUAAGUCUGAUGUGAAAGCCCCCGGCUCAACCGGGGAGGGUCAUUGGAAACUGGGAGACUUGAGUGCAGAAGAGGAGAGUGGAAUUCCAUGUGUAGCGGUGAAAUGCGUAGAUAUAUGGAGGAACACCAGUGGCGAAGGCGGCCCCCUGGACGAAGACUGACGCUCAGGUGCGAAAGCGUGGGGAGCAAACAGG
Molecule: ribosomal RNA, 429 nt
Filed under: Chloroflexota bacterium
Lineage: Bacteria; Bacillati; Chloroflexota
Description: Chloroflexi bacterium partial 16S ribosomal RNA
Rfam family: Bacterial small subunit ribosomal RNA
Source: RNAcentral